This 72-nucleotide transfer RNA is filed under the name Flavobacteriaceae bacterium UJ101. It matches the Rfam family "tRNA". From Rfam's summary of the family: Transfer RNA (tRNA) molecules are approximately 80 nucleotides in length. Their secondary structure includes four short double-helical elements and three loops (D, anti-codon, and T loops). Further hydrogen bonds mediate the characteristic L-shaped molecular structure. tRNAs have two regions of fundamental functional importance: the anti-codon, which is responsible for specific mRNA codon recognition, and the 3' end, to which the tRNAs corresponding amino acid is attached (by aminoacyl-tRNA synthetases). tRNAs cope with the degeneracy of the genetic code in two manners: having more than one tRNA (with a specific anti-codon) for a particular amino acid; and 'wobble' base-pairing, i.e. permitting non-standard base-pairing at the 3rd anti-codon position. The record is from Rfam by way of RNAcentral. RNAcentral also lists the same sequence under 1 other name. Lineage: Bacteria; Pseudomonadati; Bacteroidota; Flavobacteriia; Flavobacteriales; Flavobacteriaceae.
GCGAGAGUAGCUCAGGGGUAGAGCACAACCUUGCCAAGGUUGGGGUCGCGGGUUCGAAUCCCGUUUCUCGCU